GAAUGGAAUGAUGAUUAUGAAUUCCCUAUUGGUUUGAUUGCCUCAAUGAUGGCGUUUUGUAUUAGCUCUAUCUGACCAUUC
Non-coding RNA from Vigna angularis (adzuki bean), 81 nucleotides. The record is from Rfam. Lineage: Eukaryota; Viridiplantae; Streptophyta; Magnoliopsida; Fabales; Fabaceae.